UCAAACUCCCCUACAUGGUAAUUCUCAGAGUGGAACAUAUACAGACAGGCUCAUAGUAGGAAGAAAAGAAAAAGAAAAGGAAGACAGCUCCACAACACACAAUGCUAGGCCAGAGGAUUACCCCAAAGGUCUACAGUCACUCAGACUCUUGGACUCAAAGAAUAGCAGACCAACAGCAGCAAUCAGCACCACCUGGGAGCUGUUAGAAAUUCAGCAUC
This 218-nucleotide long non-coding RNA is filed under the name Homo sapiens (human). RNAcentral's name for it is "HSALNT0023680". The record is from RNAcentral. Lineage: Eukaryota; Metazoa; Chordata; Mammalia; Primates; Hominidae.